Molecule: long non-coding RNA, 456 nt
Organism: Mercurialis annua (annual mercury)
Lineage: Eukaryota; Viridiplantae; Streptophyta; Magnoliopsida; Malpighiales; Euphorbiaceae
Exons: 2
Source: RefSeq, a predicted model, not a curated record
UGUGACGAUGGUGUGUGAGUUAUGGGGAGUAGUAAUAGUAGCAGUGGACAGACACUGUGCAGACAGAGGGGAAGAAGAAUUUUUUUACGUUCUUCACGUUCUCUUCAAAUCGAUCAACAUAUUGGUUUUCACAUAGCAGAUCUGGAUAAAAAGAAGCCCUGAAGCAGCGGAAUGGUAACGACGGUGACAUAACCAUGUGGAAGAAGUAACGGUGGCGGCAGCAAAAUGAUGAGGCAAAAAAUGGCGGUGGCGGAACGACGAUGAAGGCGGUGGCUGAACGAUGGUGACGAUAAUAGCUUCUGAUGUGUUUUAUUGUAAAGUUAAUUUAGUUGUCAUGUCUCUUUGGUUAUCUCUCUUUAUUUUUAGCUGGGUUUUUUAAUUGAUUAGUUUGAUUCUUGAAUUAUUGCAAGAACUGUGUGUUUAUGAGAUCAAUGAAGGGGAUCGUGGACUUUUGAA